Molecule: ribosomal RNA, 433 nt
Filed under: uncultured bacterium
Lineage: Bacteria
Description: partial 16S ribosomal RNA
Rfam family: Bacterial small subunit ribosomal RNA
Source: RNAcentral
AACGAACGCUGGCGGCAUGCCUAACACAUGCAAGUCGAACGAGACCUACGGGUCUAGUGGCGCACGGGUGCGUAACGCGUGGGAACCUGCCCUUAGGUUCGGAAUAACUCCCCGAAAGGGGUGCUAAUACCGGAUAAUGUCUUCGGACCAAAGAUUUAUCGCCUUUGGAUGGGCCCGCGUUGGAUUGGCUAGUUGGUAGGGUACAAGCUUACCACGGCGACGAUCCAUAGCUGGUCUGAGAGGAUGAUCAGCCACACUGGGACUGAGACACGGACCAGACUCCUACGGGAGGCAGCAGUGGGGAAUAUUGGACGAUGGGCGAAAGCCUGAUCCAGCAGUGCCGCGUGAGUGAUGAAGGCCGUAGUGUUGUAAAGCUCUUUUACCCGAGAUGAUAAUGACAGUACCGGAAGAAUAAGCCCCGGCUAACUCCGUG